Molecule: long non-coding RNA, 1564 nt
Organism: Populus euphratica (Euphrates poplar)
Lineage: Eukaryota; Viridiplantae; Streptophyta; Magnoliopsida; Malpighiales; Salicaceae
Exons: 2
Source: RefSeq, a predicted model, not a curated record
CAAAAAAAAAAAAAAAAAAAAUUACUACCCCUAGUAAACCACGAGAAGAGCUAGGUGGCAUGGUGAACAAUAUUUUCACCAUGUAUUUUAGUUUCUGUUAAUUAAUAAUUGAUAUGGGUUCUAGAAAAGGUGUGACUGUAAUAUUACUAGCUGACUGCUUUGAACACCAAUAUAGCGUUGGCAUUCGGAAAGCACCAUCUCCAGGUUGGCAGCCUCAAUUCGAUCAUGUUUUUCUCCACUGCAACAGAAAUGGCUGCCUAUAUUUGCAUGGUAAGAGAAAAGCAACAAGAAGACAGAAAUGGAUCUUGUGUGUAUAACGACAUGGUACAUGAAGUUAUUAACGUUUCAAAUCAAUUAUACUCUUUGUUUUCUUUGAAAACACGAAGAAUCAUGCUCGGCCAAAAACAGAACUCUGUCUUGUGUUUGCAUUUACACGCGUUUAUUUACGGGCAUGUACCUGCUGGCUGCUGUAGCUUCGAAUGGUGUCGUUUCUUUAGAGCUCAACGGGUCAGACAGACGUGGGAUUUAUGUUCGUGUCUUCUUGUCUUAAACUUCCAGACAUUUGAUUUUGUGAUGUAGAGUACAUUGUAACAUCAAUUUGUCAGUUUGUCACCAUCCUUCAAUAAAGCCAUAUGGGUAAGUUGCUGGGAGGUUGGCGGUGUAAAAUUGAAACAAGAACAAUGGCUAGUGCCAUAGCAGGAUUCUUAGUUACCAACGGAAAUCAUCCCUUCGAAAUACAGAGAGCUAGUUAUUAGUUGACCACGCAAAUGUUCCAUCGCAGAAAUCAAGGCUCCUCUACAAAGGAAACGCCAUCAAUUCAUCCCGUGUGACAGAAGUGCCAUCCUUGUCAAAUCAGUUUCUCAUAUAACAUUCUUCUGCCUGAACAGUAUGAUUAACCAAGGGAAUACGGGAGCCGGAGGAGAUGAAGCUGCAGCAGUCAAAGUGCAAGGAAGGUCUUCUCUUUUCAGGCUCUUUCUUUAUUACAAUCACUAUCGUGAUCAGACUUUUGCGUUCGUGCAGGUCCUCGUUGGGCUGGACAAGGAGCUAUCAUGAUGGCCCCAGGGGCAUCUACAUCUCUCUUUUGGACCCUUUCACACUGAACUACCAUCGGCUCGAGACCGUGUCAAUGACAAGACCUACAUAGCCUUCCAUUUGUUUCAUGGCUGCUGGUGCCCUCCUUUCAUUCAGAAUAUUGCAUCCAAGUCAUGUAGCGAGGGAUGAUGGCACCCUCUGCACCAACUCAAAGUAGUUUUCUUUGUUGUCUUCCAUGAUAGCGUAAUAAACAACUAUCCUUGGUCCCCAUAAAAUAAAUUAAAAACUGACUCUUGUUAAAUUGAAUGUGCCUUCACUUGAUGAACCAGACCAUAUGCUUUGCAGCUACAGCGGGUUCUACAAGGGAGUGCAGGGUCUGCAGUAGCUUGGCAGGUUGAUGACAAGCGGAAGGUUCCCUUGCUUUCUAGUUUGGCAAUAAAAAGGUAGUCCAGCUCAGGAUAAAUAGGGCAAAAUCAGAGAGGAGUUAUUUUUUGAAAUUUUAUAAAGCAUAGCCACAUAAUUCAUUUCUCCA